AACUAACGCUGGCGGCGUGCCUAACACAUGCAAGUCGUACGAGAAAGCCGGCUUCGGCUGGUGAGUAAAGUGGCGCACGGGUGAGUAACGCGUGGAUAAUCUGCCCUUAAGUGUGGAAUAACGUACCGAAAGGUGCGCUAAUACCGCAUAAUGCCUGGCAACACAAGUUGUCCGGCCAAAGAAGGCCUCUGUUUACAAGCUUUCGCUUCAGGAUGAGUCCGCGUACCAUUAGCUUGUUGGUGGGGUAAUGGCCUACCAAGGCUGCGAUGGUUAGCUGGUCUGAGAGGAUGAUCAGCCACACUGGAACUGAGACACGGUCCAGACUCCUACGGGAGGCAGCAGUGAGGAAUAUUGCGCUAUGGGCGAAAGCCUGACGCAGCGACACCGCGUGAAGGAUGAAGGCCUUCGGGUUGUAAACUUCUGUUAAAUAGCACCGGCUAACUACGUGCCAGCAGCCGCGGUAAGCACGAGAGUA
This 475-nucleotide ribosomal RNA is filed under the name uncultured bacterium. Its description in RNAcentral is "bacterial SSU rRNA". It matches the Rfam family "Bacterial small subunit ribosomal RNA", at positions 29 to 534 of the family's 1533-position model. The record is from RNAcentral.